RNAcentral lists this ribosomal RNA (253 nucleotides) under uncultured bacterium. RNAcentral describes it as "partial 16S ribosomal RNA". It matches the Rfam family "Bacterial small subunit ribosomal RNA", at positions 524 to 776 of the family's 1533-position model. The record is from RNAcentral.
GACGAACCGUGCGAACGUUGUUCGGAUUCACUGGGCUUAAAGGGCGCGUAGGCGGGUCCUCAAGUCCGGGGUGAAAUCCUCUCGCUUAACGAGAGAACUGCCCCGGAUACUGGAGACCUCGAGGGAGGUAGGGGCAUGUGGAACUUCCGGUGGAGCGGUGAAAUGCGUAGAUAUCGGAAGGAACGCCGGUGGCGAAAGCGACGUGCUGGACCUUUUCUGACGCUGAGGCGCGAAAGCCAGGGGAGCAAACGGG